GUGUGCUCAGCCCACUGACCUUGGGCUCCAGAGGCUCACACCUGGGGCUGUGCUGCCGCACACAGAAGUAACCUGCUUUGAAAAGGAAUCACGGCAUCCAGUGUAGCACUGUUUACAACAGCGAAGAGGGGAAAACAGCCGACACACGCCACACAAAAGCCCCAGCGAGACAGGUAACCUGUGUGCCCCCUUCAGGAAUCCCAGCAUGUCCAGCCAGAGUCCCCAUGGGGUGUCGCUUCAUGUCGUCUUGGGAGAGGGAACCCCAGCACUGGGAAGAUCAUCAAAAGACACUGGCUGAUUGCUGUCGGGAAUACAAGAGCCAUUGAAGAAAAUGAACUGAGA
Molecule: long non-coding RNA, 342 nt
Organism: Sapajus apella (tufted capuchin)
Lineage: Eukaryota; Metazoa; Chordata; Mammalia; Primates; Cebidae
Exons: 2
Source: RefSeq, a predicted model, not a curated record